RNAcentral lists this ribosomal RNA (497 nucleotides) under uncultured bacterium. RNAcentral's name for it is "partial 16S ribosomal RNA". It matches the Rfam family "Bacterial small subunit ribosomal RNA", at positions 28 to 507 of the family's 1533-position model. The record is from RNAcentral.
GAUGAACGCUGGCGGCGUGCCUAAUACAUGCAAGUCGAGCGAACAGACGAGGAGCUUGCUCCUCUGACGUUAGCGGCGGACGGGUGAGUAACACGUGGAUAACCUACCUAUAAGACUGGGAUAACUUCGGGAAACCGGAGAUAAUACCGGAUAAUAUAUUGAACCGCAUGGUUCAAUAGUGAAAGACGGUUUUGCUGUCACUUAUAGAUGGAUCCGCGCCGCAUUAGCUAGUUGGUAAGGUAACGGCCUACCAAGGCAACGAUGCGUAGCCGACCUGAGAGGGUGAUCGGCCACACUGGAACUGAGACACGGUCCAGACUCCUACGGGAGGCAGCAGUAGGGAAUCUUCCGCAAUGGGCGAAAGCCUGACGCAGCAACGCCGCGUGAGUGAUGAAGGUCUUCGGAUCGUAAAACUCUGUUAUUAGGGAAGAACAAAUGUGUAAGUAACUAUGCCCGUCUUGACGGUACCUAAUCAGAAAGCCCCGGCUAACUACGUG